RNAcentral lists this ribosomal RNA (253 nucleotides) under uncultured bacterium. RNAcentral's name for it is "partial 16S ribosomal RNA". It matches the Rfam family "Bacterial small subunit ribosomal RNA", at positions 524 to 776 of the family's 1533-position model. The record is from RNAcentral.
UACAGAGGGGGCAAGCGUUGUUCGGAAUUACUGGGCGUAAAGGGCGCGUAGGCGGCCUUCUAAGUCGAACGUGAAAUCCCUGGGCUCAACCCAGGAACUGCGUCCGAUACUGGAAGGCUUGAAUCCGGGAGAGGGAUGCGGAAUUCCAGGUGUAGCGGUGAAAUGCGUAGAUAUCUGGAGGAACACCGGUGGCGAAGGCGGCAUCCUGGACCGGUAUUGACGCUGAGGCGCGAAAGCGUGGGGAGCGAAUGGG